UCCCUUCCCUUCCCUUCCCUUCCCUUCCCUUCCCUUCCCUUCCCUUCCCUUCCCUUCCCUUCCCUUCCCUUCCCUUCCUGCCUGAGGCCUCGUUCAGCAGCAGCAGCACUGAAGCCAAGGCAAUCUUGCCUCACAGCUAUUAAAUGCCAACCGACAGCCUGCAGAGAUGCCUUCAAAUCAAAGGUUCAGGUGGGAUGAAGUUUUGUUUGGACGAAGGUGGGAGUUUCCAGGGAGCCAGCUGGAAGUGCAGAAGGGAUGGAAAGCUUUCCCAGGUGCUGGACUUGCCUCUGUGGAUGUGCGCUGAGCUCUCACUGCAGGGGACUGUGAGGCCUGACUGGCUCUUGAAGAAACUUGAAGAAGGAAUUUGGAUAUAUAAAAACAAGCUGAGAAGAGCAUCAGUGUGUUCACUGGCAGCACGGGCUGGGAUGAGGGCUGAGCAGGACCCAAGCUGCAGCACAUCAUCCAUUCAGCUUUCACCUCAUGUUUUAUCACGGCCUUUAUGAGACAGAUGUGAAUCGAUGAGUCCCAGGCCGAGCCAUGCCCGUGCCCCGUUCUGUUGGAGCUGGU
Molecule: long non-coding RNA, 567 nt
Organism: Oenanthe melanoleuca
Lineage: Eukaryota; Metazoa; Chordata; Aves; Passeriformes; Muscicapidae
Exons: 3
Source: RefSeq, a predicted model, not a curated record